AUUGAACGCUGGCGGCAUGCCUUACACAUGCAAGUCGAACGGCAGCGCGAACUUCGGUCUGGCGGCGAGUGGCGAACGGGUGAGUAAUACAUCGGAACGUACCCUGUUGUGGGGGAUAACUAGUCGAAAGAUAGCUAAUACCGCAUACGACCUGAGGGUGAAAGUGGGGGACCGCAAGGCCUCACGCAGCAGGAGCGGCCGAUGUCUGAUUAGCUAGUUGGUGGGGUAAAGGCCCACCAAGGCGACGAUCAGUAGCUGGUCUGAGAGGACGAUCAGCCACACUGGGACUGAGACACGGCCCAGACUCCUACGGGAGGCAGCAGUGGGGAAUUUUGGACAAUGGGGGCAACCCUGAUCCAGCAAUGCCGCGUGUGUGAAGAAGGCCUUCGGGUUGUAAAGCACUUUUGUCCGGAAAGAAAUCGCGCUGGUUAAUACCUGGCGUGGAUGACGGUACCGGAAGAAUAAGCACCGGCUAACUACGUGCCAGCCGCCGCUGUAA
RNAcentral lists this ribosomal RNA (499 nucleotides) under uncultured bacterium. Its description in RNAcentral is "partial 16S ribosomal RNA". It matches the Rfam family "Bacterial small subunit ribosomal RNA", at positions 30 to 523 of the family's 1533-position model. The record is from RNAcentral.